GCGAGAGUGGCGGAAUUGGUAGACGCACCGGCUUUAGGCGCCGGCAGCUUCGGCUGUAGGGGUUCAACUCCCCUCUCUCGCACCA
RNAcentral lists this transfer RNA (85 nucleotides) under Deltaproteobacteria bacterium. Its description in RNAcentral is "tRNA-Leu". It matches the Rfam family "tRNA". Rfam says of the family: Transfer RNA (tRNA) molecules are approximately 80 nucleotides in length. Their secondary structure includes four short double-helical elements and three loops (D, anti-codon, and T loops). Further hydrogen bonds mediate the characteristic L-shaped molecular structure. tRNAs have two regions of fundamental functional importance: the anti-codon, which is responsible for specific mRNA codon recognition, and the 3' end, to which the tRNAs corresponding amino acid is attached (by aminoacyl-tRNA synthetases). tRNAs cope with the degeneracy of the genetic code in two manners: having more than one tRNA (with a specific anti-codon) for a particular amino acid; and 'wobble' base-pairing, i.e. permitting non-standard base-pairing at the 3rd anti-codon position. The record is from RNAcentral. Lineage: Bacteria; Pseudomonadati; Myxococcota; Myxococcia.